RNAcentral lists this ribosomal RNA (571 nucleotides) under uncultured archaeon. RNAcentral describes it as "bacterial SSU rRNA". It matches the Rfam family "Archaeal small subunit ribosomal RNA", at positions 289 to 860 of the family's 1478-position model. The record is from RNAcentral.
CCCGGAGAUGGAUUCUGAGACACGAAUCCAGGCCCUACGGGGUGCAGCAGGCGCGAACACUUUACAAUGCGGGAAACCGCGAUAAGGGAACCCCGAGUGCCAGCAUCAAAUGUUGGCUGUCCAGAUGAUUAAAAAUCAUUUGUUAGCAAGGGCCGGGCAAGACCGGUGCCAGCCGCCGCGGUAACACCGGCGGCCCGAGUGGUAGCCGUUUUUAUUGGGUCUAAAGGGUCCGUAGCCGGCCUGAUAAGUCCUUUGGGAAAUCUGGCAGCUUAACUGUCAGGCUUCUAAGGGAUACUGUCAGGCUUGGGACCGGAAGAGGUAAGGGGUACUCCAGGGGUAGGAGUGAAAUCUUGUAAUCCCUGGGGGACCAUCUGUGGCGAAGGCGCCUUACCAGAACGGGUCCGACGGUGAGGGACGAAAGCUAGGGGAGCAAACCGGAUUAGAUACCCGGGUAGUCCUAGCUGUAAACGAUGCUCGCUAGGUGUCAGACACGGUGCGACCGUGUUUGGUGCCGCAGGGAAGCCGUUAAGCGAGCCACCUGGGAAGUACGGUCGCAAGGCUGAAACUAAGA